ACAGCCUUGGAAACCCUAUGGGGGCAGUUCUACUCUGUCCUGUUGGGUUGCUGUGAGUCGGGAUCAACUCAAUGGCUAUGAGUAUUCACUGAGGACUACAUUCAAGUCACUGGAUUAAGUAUUUUAAUUCCCCAACAUCCUGGUGCUGAAAAAGAUUGUCAUUUCUGGUUAGCACGCUGAGAGGGAAGCAAUGAGGAACGUGACUCAGCCAGCACAAUGAAAGACCUGAGAUUUGAAAACGGCUUGAUCCUAGCAACACUGUGCUGAGAUUACGUGGAGAAGACAGCCAACUUGUAUAGACGGAGCCGUGUGCCCUUGGAAUCCCCUCCAGUUUGGAAUUGGUGUGAUUCCUACACCACAUACUGAAAGUGCCGUCUGAGCUCACUGAUUUGAGGUCCGUAGGAGACUGUUCCUUCAGAGAAGUUCCUAGAUGUUUUCCAGACCAUUUACUCAACUGAUUCCACUCACAUUUAUUGGAUGUGUAUGUGCUGGGCACUGGUUACGCAAAAUGAUAAAUAAGACAGUCUCUGUCUCUGUCAGUUCCUUUCUUUCUUUCUUUUUAUUGUGC
Long non-coding RNA from Trichechus manatus latirostris (Florida manatee), 568 nucleotides. RefSeq lists it as uncharacterized. The transcript is spliced from 3 exons. The record is from RefSeq and is a predicted model, not a curated record. NCBI's taxonomy places the organism in Eukaryota, Metazoa, Chordata, Mammalia, Sirenia, Trichechidae.